UACAAUAUUUGACUCUUCGUCUUAUUCAGAAAAAUUUUAUAAUUAAUAAUUUUAUUUUUGUUAGAUAAUAAAACAUUAAUAGUAUUUUAUGUGUGACCGAUUAUUUUUAAAAUUUUUGAAAUUUUUUUCAAUAAGACGGAUGGUCAAACAAUUGACACAGAAACC
RNAcentral lists this microRNA precursor (165 nucleotides) under Oryza brachyantha (malo sina). RNAcentral's name for it is "MIR812 microRNA precursor family". It matches the Rfam family "MIR812 microRNA precursor family", at positions 27 to 189 of the family's 205-position model. Lineage: Eukaryota; Viridiplantae; Streptophyta; Magnoliopsida; Poales; Poaceae. The record is from Rfam by way of RNAcentral.